CGGAACUGUCUCUUCCCCCAGUCAAUGAAAUUGAUCUCCCCGUGCAGAAGCGGGGAUAUAAACAUAAGACGAGAAGACCCUAUGGAGCUUUAGACGCAAUGACCGCCCAUGUUUAACCCCUUGACUAAGAGGCAUAAACCAACUGGGCCCGGGCAUGAUGUCUUUGGUUGGGGCGACCACGGGGUAACGAAAAACCCCCGAGUGGAAUGAGUACACAACUCUUUAAACCCAAGAGCCACAGCUCUAGGAAUCAGAAUUUCUGACCUAAAAGAUCCGGCAAAGCCGAUCAACGAACCGAGUUACCCUAGGGAUAACAGCGCAAUCCCCUUUUAGAGCCCAUAUCGACAAGGGGGUUUACGACCUCGAUUUUGGAUCAGGACAUCCU
RNAcentral lists this ribosomal RNA (385 nucleotides) under Orestias agassizii. RNAcentral's name for it is "partial 16S ribosomal RNA". It matches the Rfam family "Bacterial large subunit ribosomal RNA", at positions 2011 to 2548 of the family's 2925-position model. The record is from RNAcentral. Lineage: Eukaryota; Metazoa; Chordata; Actinopteri; Cyprinodontiformes; Cyprinodontidae.